Selaginella moellendorffii is the source of this 2119-nucleotide RNA transcript. It is a transcript of the gene named neo-calmodulin, with no coding region annotated. The record is from RefSeq and is a predicted model, not a curated record. NCBI's taxonomy places the organism in Eukaryota, Viridiplantae, Streptophyta, Lycopodiopsida, Selaginellales, Selaginellaceae. The transcript is spliced from 5 exons.
CCCUCUCUUUCCGAGGGCCUUCCUUUCUCUUCUCUAAGUUUCUCGCCAUUCACCAGCAUUUUGUGGAGCGAUCGAAGCAGCGCGGCUAUGGCGUCGCUUCUUCUCCACGAUCUGGCCGGCGCCGCAUUGAUCUAGCGGACGGGGGCUAUCGCUAAGUCUCUUUUGUCGGUAGAGGCGCGGGCCUUGUGGGAUCACGAAGCCGCCGACGCGGAAGACGCAGUGAAGCUGCUGCCGAUCGGUGGAAAUCUCACCUCAAAAGCUUCGAUCGAGCUUUCCGGCGAGGAUCCGAGGUAAAAGAGAGGUAGAUUUCUUGGAUAUUUCGGGCAGCGAUAGCGGAAUGCUGGCAUCGCAAGGCGGCAUGUGGUGAGAUUUCCAGGCUAGCUAUAGGCGCGCGCACGACGAUGAAGCUCCCGAAAUAUUUGAGGAGGAAGAACGGAUCUUCGUCAGCGUUUUCCAGCUCCAACGAGUCGAGAUCAUCCAAGUCGGCAAUGGAGGGCGAUCUCAAGGCCCCGCUCAGCAGAUCCCAAUCGGCCGAGAUCUCCUCCGACUCCUCCUCCUCCUCCUCGGCUCACAGCAGCAUGAACAAGCAGCAGCAUCCCAGGCACAUCCAGGAGCUCGAGCACGCCUUCCGCUACUUCGACGCCAACGGCGAUGGCAAGAUCUCGGUGGCGGAGCUCGGGGGAGUGCUCAAAUCCCUGGGCGAGAACCCGAGCGAGGAGGACUUGAGAACGAUGGUCCGGGAAGUUGACGCGGACGGGGAUGGGUUCGUGGAUUUCGACGAGUUUGUGCAUCUCAACACGGAGAUCUUGGGCGACGCGCUGGCCGCGAGCGUGGAGGAGCUCAAGGCCGCGUUCUACGUCUUCGACACGGACAAGAACGGCUACAUUUCGGCGGAGGAGCUCUACAAGGUCAUGUUUAACUUGGGGGAGAAGGGGGUGACAAUGGAGGAUUGCAACCGGAUGAUUGGGGGAGUCGACUCGGAUGGCGAUGGGUUUGUGAACUUCGAGGAGUUCCAAAGGAUGAUGUUGAGCAGCAGCAGCAGCAGCGCUGCUCCCUCCACCGCAUGAUAGCGACGAAGCUUUUUUUCUUCUCCGCGCCAAGGCCUAGCUCAUCUAUCAAGCCAUGAUCACAAAACUUUGAAGCUCCUUCCUCCCAAAUCUUGGGGAACCUUUUAAGAUCUCUUUAAACUUUGGCUCAUCUCAUCUCCUUUUUCCUUGAACCCUGCCUUUUUCUUCGCAGUCUUCUCAGUAAUUUAUAAUGCAAGAAGCUCCCAUGAUCGAUAAUGGGGGAGUUUUAAAGCUUGUUUGUGGACGGUGUUUAUUAUAGGUGUUGGCCCGCGUAGCCCCGAGUGUGGCCGGACAACUGUGAUUGACAAACAAUUGUCCUAGCAGGUGCGCAAAGAGCGCUGAUUUGUGACGAAAGCGAGUAACUUACUAGGUAAGCUUAAAGCUGCUGCUGCUGCUGCGCGAUUUCCAAAAGGGAAAAAACUUGAUGGGCGCUGGUUGCGCAUUCAUCACUGCCGCGUUUUUGACCAGUGCCGGCCUUGGAAGAAGCGUGACAAAAACGGGUGCUGCGAAGAGGAAGGAAAGCGUGCCCGACUGACACGACGAGACGACUGUGGCGCAAUCUUUUCUCUCCUCUUUUUCGCGGCAAGCACCAAAGCGGCGGUGGUCCAGUGAGAAGUUGGGAGUUCAUUCUCGUUUUUUUGUUUUCGAUGGAAACUCUCGGCGCAGAUCUGGACGGAAACAUUGAUAUUGGGCUCCAAGAGCGCGACAAUUGCUCUGCGGCCUGGCCUGGCCUGGCCUGGCCUACACCGGACUGGAGAAAAAAUCUGGCUUUCCAGUACGACAAGCUUGCCGUCCUUCGUGCUGCUUCGCGGAGCGCCAAAGUCAGAGCUACAAUUUCUAUCCAUGGCUCGCCCCGCCGCGAGGAAAAAGACGUGCGCCUGAGGCGGGCGCUCACGCGACUUCGAAGUUUCCAGCGGGGGCCAAAUAGAUUUUUAUUCUUCCUUUUCUUCUCUUUUCAUCACCGACUUGCGAGAAAACGCGCUGCUGCUAAAACUCGUUCUUUUACUCGGCUUACUCGGCCUGCCGCGAAGAACAGAAGAACUCACUUUUCA